This 253-nucleotide ribosomal RNA is filed under the name uncultured bacterium. RNAcentral's name for it is "partial 16S ribosomal RNA". It matches the Rfam family "Bacterial small subunit ribosomal RNA", at positions 524 to 776 of the family's 1533-position model. The record is from RNAcentral.
UACGUAGGUGGCAAGCGUUGUCCGGAUUUAUUGGGUUUAAAGGGUGCGUAGGCGGUUCCAUAAGUCAGUGGUGAAAUACGGCAGCUCAACUGUCGAGGUGCCAUUGAUACUGCGGAACUUGAGUGUUGAUGAGGCAGGCGGAAUUGACGGUGUAGCGGUGAAAUGCGCAGAUAUCAGGAGGAACACCAAUGGCGAAGGCAGCUCGCUGGGACGUUACUGACGCUGAGACGCGAAAGCGUGGGGAGCAAACAGG